GAAGAACAUGUCGUUCUUGAGGGUCUUCAUCUCGGUUGCGUCGUCUUGAAGGUUGUGACAAUCGCAAUGUCUCAUCCGGUAAGUCAGCAAACGAAGGUUCUUGAGUUGAAUCCGCUGGUUGUUGGCUCUCCAUCUAAUUAGCAUCACAAAUGUAAAGAAGUUACAAACAAGGAUAGGAAAUUGAAUGUUUUCUUGCCUCAAUCUUGUCUCUUUUAUAAGAGAGAUUUUUAUCUUGAUUUUGAUGGAUGUCGUUGAUGAAAAACUUUGACUUUAGCUGAUGCAUUUGCUAGAUUCUUAAAUGGCUCCCAGGUGCGUUCACUAAUAUCAUAUCCCCGCCAAUGAACAAGAUAUUCCAGCUUAUUUCGGCGCCGCCUCGAGUCUAAUAUCUCUUCCACCUCAAAUUCUUCAUUAUUAUCUACUUGUCAAGGACAAGAACUCGAUGAAAAAUAAUUCAGACAAGCGAGCCUUCACUCAAAGAGAGGUAACAAAAUAUAUAUAAACAAGUAUAUAUAUUGAUAUAGAAACUGGAAUGGCUAUUGCCAAAAGACAAGAAAACUAGAAACCCUUGAAACUAGACUAGAAGCAAGAAAGAAAUUGACAAGAGUGAAGAAGCCUUCACUCUUGUCUCUAUAUAUACUAUCUAAUUAGGAGCUACGUGGCGACGUUCUGUAGGACCUUCAAUAUGUGUUGACUUUGUAGGACACAUGCCUUGACUUACAAGGCAAGUUUUUCUACGUGUGGGCCACAUAGUUAGCUUAAUCUUCAAGCUAACAACAUGUGUGGCACAUGGCCAACUUGUUGACCACGUUUCUAAUCCAAAAAGUCAAUUAAAGACAC
RNAcentral lists this long non-coding RNA (837 nucleotides) under Physcomitrium patens. RNAcentral describes it as "long non-coding RNA (PPAT_LNC014104)". Lineage: Eukaryota; Viridiplantae; Streptophyta; Bryopsida; Funariales; Funariaceae. The record is from RNAcentral.